AGCAGUCGCCGCGGGAAUACGGAGGGUGCAAGCGUUAUCCGGAUUUAUUGGGUUUAAAGGGUCCGUAGGCGGAUCUGUAAGUCAGUGGUGAAAUCUCACAGCUUAACUGUGAAACUGCCAUUGAUACUGCAGGACUUGAGUAAAUUUGAAGUGGCUGGAAUAAGUAGUGUAGCGGUGAAAUGCAUAGAUAUUACUUAGAACACCAAUUGCGAAGGCAGGUCACUAAGAUUUAACUGACGCUGAUGGACGAAAGCGUGGGGAGCGAACAGGAUUAGAUACCCCAGUAGUCCCUGUCUCUUAUAC
This 303-nucleotide ribosomal RNA is filed under the name uncultured bacterium. RNAcentral describes it as "partial 16S ribosomal RNA". It matches the Rfam family "Bacterial small subunit ribosomal RNA", at positions 507 to 807 of the family's 1533-position model. The record is from RNAcentral.